CCUGGCUCAGGACGAACGCUGGCGGCGUGCCUAAUACAUGCAAGUAGAACGCUGAAGAGAGGAGCUUGCUCUUCUUGGAUGAGUUGCGAACGGGUGAGUAACGCGUAGGUAACCUGCCUUGUAGCGGGGGAUAACUAUUGGAAACGAUAGCUAAUACCGCAUAACAAUGGAUGACACAUGUCAUUUAUUUGAAAGGGGCAAUUGCUCCACUACAAGAUGGACCUGCGUUGUAUUAGCUAGUAGGUGAGGUAAUGGCUCACCUAGGCGACGAUACAUAGCCGACCUGAGAGGGUGAUCGGCCACACUGGGACUGAGACACGGCCCAGACUCCUACGGGAGGCAGCAGUAGGGAAUCUUCGGCAAUGGGGGCAACCCUGACCGAGCAACGCCGCGUGAGUGAAGAAGGUUUUCGGAUCGUAAAGCUCUGUUGUAAGUCAAGAACGGGUGUGAGAGUGGAAAGUUCACACUGUGACGGUAGCUUACCAGAAAGGGACGGCUAACUACGUGCCAGCAGCCGCGGUAAUACGUAGGUCCCGAGCGUUGUCCGGAUUUAUUGGGCGUAAAGCGAGCGCAGGCGGUUUGAUAAGUCUGAAGUUAAAGGCUGUGGCUCAACCAUAGUUCGCUUUGGAAACUGUCAAACUUGAGUGCAGAAGGGGAGAGUGGAAUUCCAUGUGUAGCGGUGAAAUGCGUAGAUAUAUGGAGGAACACCGGUGGCGAAAGCGGCUCUCUGGUCUGUAACUGACGCUGAGGCUCGAAAGCGUGGGGAGCGAACAGGAUUAGAUACCCUGGUAGUCCACGCCGUAAACGAUGAGUGCUAGGUGUUGGAUCCUUUCCGGGAUUCAGUGCCGCAGCUAACGCAUUAAGCACUCCGCCUGGGGAGUACGACCGCAAGGUUGAAACUCAAAGGAAUUGACGGGGGCCCGCACAAGCGGUGGAGCAUGUGGUUUAAUUCGAAGCAACGCGAAGAACCUUACCAGGUCUUGACAUCCCGAUGCUAUUUCUAGAGAUAGAAAGUUACUUCGGUACAUCGGUGACAGGUGGUGCAUGGUUGUCGUCAGCUCGUGUCGUGAGAU
This 1073-nucleotide ribosomal RNA is filed under the name Faecalibacterium prausnitzii. RNAcentral's name for it is "bacterial SSU rRNA". It matches the Rfam family "Bacterial small subunit ribosomal RNA", at positions 18 to 1073 of the family's 1533-position model. Lineage: Bacteria; Bacillati; Bacillota; Clostridia; Eubacteriales; Oscillospiraceae. The record is from RNAcentral.